Molecule: long non-coding RNA, 1711 nt
Filed under: Olea europaea subsp. europaea
Lineage: Eukaryota; Viridiplantae; Streptophyta; Magnoliopsida; Lamiales; Oleaceae
Source: RNAcentral
CGAUUUUUUAAUUUUUCAUAAUUACAUCACAUAUAGAAAAUAGAAUUGUGUAUUAUAUAUGAAGGCAAGUUUCCACGCUUUAGGGGAAAAAUUUGGGGGAUGACCGUGGUUCAACCACUUUCCAAAACAAUCCUUAUACGCCACGGGUCGUCUGUGGGUUUGUCACCACGAACCCGCAGUUGACCAAGAAAAAAAUAUUUUUUCUUUAAAAAAAAAAAAAAAUUUGGCAAGAGCAGCGUCUUCUCCUCCCCUUUUUGCACUCUCCAACCAAAAUUUCUCUACAAAUUAAAUAAUACUUCGAAGAAUCAAAAGCCUGCAUGAAGAGGAAGCAUUAAGUAGGAACCCAACAUCAUAUAUCUUCGCAUUAUUCUUUCAAAAUGAGAAUCAAGGUAUGAAAUUUUAAACCCUAUAAUUUUUGCAUUUUGGGGAUUUUUCAAUUCUCGAACUUAGCAUGAAUUUUGUGAAGAAAAAUGUGGAGAAUAUAACUACAUUGAUUGAUGGGAGUUGGAAGAUGUCUUUUGUUUGCCAAAAAUUACGAAACAACAAAUAAUCCUUACAUUUUUUUUCCUUCGAACCCUGUCAUAGUUGAAACUCGAUUUUGGUCCCCCCACCGUAACUGUAGCUUAGAAAAUGAUGAUUCCCAACUGAAAUUCGUUGAAAUAGUAACCAGUAAAAAAUAGAAAAUAGAAUAGGGAAGGGGAAAACAAGAAAAUAAGAAGAAUGAAGGUGAGAAAAGCUGUUGAUUCAAUUAACAAUUUCACUAAAAUUUUGCAGAAAACAUUACAUAGACCCCGACUUCCUCCCCCAUGGUUGUAUAUAUACAAGUAACUAAAUAUAAAGUCCCGCUUUCCAAACCCAGAAGUAGCAGACGUUUUUUAACAAAUAACAACAAUUUAUUUCAAGUAAAACGACUCCAUAUGGACUUAAUAAAAAAUGACGUCGCAGGCACUUUCAAUUCUAGUUACCGCCAUUGGUUUUUUCUCCUCUAUUUUUCAUCCUCUGUUUUGCUUNNNNGAAACUAGGCCUUAAUCCAAUCAGCAUCUUUCCAUGUCACAUUUUUUGGUGGUAGUAGAUCUGACCAAUGAAUGAGCUAUUGUUCUGCUAUUCAAUUUAUACGUUUCACUAUUUUGUAUUGUAGGAUUGCAAGGAGAUAAUGACCUACCUGUAGUGGCUGCUUUUCUUCAAGGAGUCGUAGGACUGGCAUUAUGUUGUCACCAAGUUUUUUUUUCAAUAGUGAAAUAAGGAAGACUUGUUGAAUUUUGAAGCCUCUAGGUUGUGCCAUUUGCUAAGCCACUGUCCCUACUUUCCUAGUAAUCUAUGAAAGGUUUUCCUUUAACUGAUGGUUUAAUUUGUAUCUCCACAUCUCCACAACUAGUCUCUUUAUGUUUGUAUUCUGGAUAAAAGGAUGCCUAUAAAGUUCGAUUUUGAAUGGUUGUUCACCCUCUUUCAAUGGGAUAUGGUGGUCCUGUGACCUAGGAGGAGGUAACCAUGCUGGCUCUUCAAACACCUUUGGAAAUCUUUUGAUGACCUCCAACACUUGGUUGAGCAUAUUCCCACCCUUUUCAUCCUUGAUAUGACAUAGUUGUCCCACUAUCCCAUAAGAGUCCUUUCUAAAUAUUCUUCCCAUCUCCUUAAUCCCCAUCAUCUUGGCAGGACAUUUAGACAUCCCACUCUUCAAUUCUAUCAUUUCACCAUUACUCCUCAACUGAAU